CAUGCAAGUCGAACGAUACUCUUUAGCUUGCUAGAGAGGAAAGUGGCGCACGGGUGCGUAACGCGUAUGCAACCUACCUUAAUCAGGGGGAUAGCCCGAAGAAAUUCGGAUUAACACCGCAUAAAAUCACAGUACAGCAUUGUACAAUGAUCAAAUAUUUAUAGGAUUAAGAUGGGCAUGCGUGACAUUAGUUAGUUGGCGGGGUAACGGCCCACCAAGACCACGAUGUCUAGGGGAUCUGAGAGGAUGACCCCCCACACUGGUACUGAGACACGGACCAGACUCCUACGGGAGGCAGCAGUAAGGAAUAUUGGUCAAUGGAGGCAACUCUGAACCAGCCAUGCCGCGUGCAGGAAGACAGCCCUCUGGGUCGUAAACUGCUUUUAUUCGGGAAUAAACCUACUUACGUGUAAGUAGCUGAAUGUACCGAAGGAAUAAGGAUCGGCUAACUCCGUGCCAGCAGCCGCGGUAAUACGGAGGAUCCAAGCGUUAUCCGGAUUUAUUGGGUUUAAAGGGUGCGUAGGCGGCUUUUUAAGUCAGGGGUGAAAGACGGUGGCUCAACCAUCGCAGUGCCCUUGAUACUGAAGAGCUUGAAUGAAUUAGAGGUAGGCGGAAUGUGACAAGUAGCGGUGAAAUGCAUAGAUAUGUCACAGAACACCGAUUGCGAAGGCAGCUUACUAUG
RNAcentral lists this ribosomal RNA (682 nucleotides) under arctic soil bacterium RA1BL1. RNAcentral's name for it is "bacterial SSU rRNA". It matches the Rfam family "Bacterial small subunit ribosomal RNA", at positions 54 to 733 of the family's 1533-position model. The record is from RNAcentral.